This 253-nucleotide ribosomal RNA is filed under the name uncultured bacterium. Its description in RNAcentral is "partial 16S ribosomal RNA". It matches the Rfam family "Bacterial small subunit ribosomal RNA", at positions 524 to 776 of the family's 1533-position model. The record is from RNAcentral.
UACGGAGGGUGCAAGCGUUAUCCGGAUUCACUGGGUUUAAAGGGUGCGUAGGCGGGUAAGUAAGUCCGUGGUGAAAUCUCUGAGCUUAACUCAGAAACUGCCGUGGAUACUAUUUGCCUUGAAUAUUGUGGAGGUGAGCGGAAUAUGUCAUGUAGCGGUGAAAUGCUUAGAUAUCGGGAGGAACACCAGUGGCGAAAGCGGCUCUCUGGUCCUAAACUGACGCUGAGGGGCGAAAGCGUGGGGAGCGAACGGG